Molecule: non-coding RNA, 45 nt
Organism: Schistosoma mansoni
Lineage: Eukaryota; Metazoa; Platyhelminthes; Trematoda; Strigeidida; Schistosomatidae
Source: Rfam
AUUCAGCUGACGAGUCCCAAAUAAGUCGAAACGCGAGUCCUGGAU